GGGGCUGAUUCUGGAUUCGACGGGAUUCGCGAAACCCAAGGUGCAUGCCGAGGGGCGGUUGGCCUCGUAAAAAGCCGCAAAAAAAUAGUCGCAAACGACGAAAACUACGCUUUAGCAGCUUAAUAACCUGCUUAGAGCCCUCUCUCCCUAGCCUCCGCUCUUAGGACGGGGAUCAAGAG
This 179-nucleotide transfer-messenger RNA is filed under the name Leptospira borgpetersenii serovar Hardjo-bovis. Its description in RNAcentral is "partial transfer-messenger RNA". It matches the Rfam family "transfer-messenger RNA", at positions 1 to 182 of the family's 374-position model. Rfam says of the family: Bacterial tmRNA, also known as 10Sa RNA or SsrA, is named for its dual tRNA and mRNA-like properties. Its role is to liberate the mRNA from a stalled ribosome. The record is from RNAcentral. Lineage: Bacteria; Pseudomonadati; Spirochaetota; Leptospiria; Leptospirales; Leptospiraceae.